UCACAGACAAUCGAUGGACUCUCAGAGGGGUCUUGAACAAGAUUUGGACUAGAUCUUUUCGAGAUUUUUCCAUGAAGUCAUAAAAACGAGCAAUCAGGAGAUGUAGGAGACAAGUAGAAGUCUCAAACAGCCAUGUGAAUCCAUGGAUUGAUUGGGUAUCGGAGGGGUUGGGGCUGGUUUAGGUGGUGGCAGCUAGUGUUAGG
Molecule: long non-coding RNA, 203 nt
Filed under: Nicotiana benthamiana
Lineage: Eukaryota; Viridiplantae; Streptophyta; Magnoliopsida; Solanales; Solanaceae
Description: long non-coding RNA (NBEN_LNC014758)
Source: RNAcentral